Oryza sativa (Asian cultivated rice) is the source of this 119-nucleotide ribosomal RNA. NCBI's taxonomy places the organism in Eukaryota, Viridiplantae, Streptophyta, Magnoliopsida, Poales, Poaceae. The record is from Rfam.
GGAUGCGAUCAUACCAGCACUAAAGCACCGGAUCCCAUCAGAACUCCGAAGUUAAGCGUGCUUGGGCGAGAGUAGUACUAGGAUGGGUGACCUCUUGGGAAGUCCUCGUGUUGCAUCCC